This 536-nucleotide ribosomal RNA is filed under the name uncultured bacterium. RNAcentral's name for it is "bacterial SSU rRNA". It matches the Rfam family "Bacterial small subunit ribosomal RNA", at positions 39 to 535 of the family's 1533-position model. The record is from RNAcentral.
CGGCCGCGUCGACCGGCAGGCUUAACACAUGCAAGUCGAACGGUAGCAGGAGGAAGCUUGCUUUCUUGCUGACGAGUGGCGGACGGGUGAGUAAUGCUUGGGAAUCUGGCUUAUGGAGGGGGAUAACUACGGGAAACUGUAGCUAAUACCGCGUAGUGUCGAGAGACGAAAGUGCGGGACCGCAAGGCCGCAUGCCAUGAGAUGAGCCCAAGUGGGAUUAGGUAGUUGGUGGGGUAAAGGCCUACCAAGCCUGCGAUCUCUAGCUGGUCUGAGAGGAUGGCCAGCCACACUGGAACUGAGACACGGUCCAGACUCCUACGGGAGGCAGCAGUGGGGAAUAUUGCGCAAGUGGGGGGAACCCUGACGCAGCCAUGCCGCGUGAAUGAAGAAGGCCUUCGGUUGUAAGUUCUUUCGGUAUUGAGGAAGGAGUGUAUGUUAAUAGCAUACAUUAAUUGUACGUUAAAUAACAGAAGAAGACACCGGCUAACUCCGUCGCCACGCAGCCGCGGUAAGUACGGAGGGUGCGAGCGUUAACG